This 200-nucleotide long non-coding RNA is filed under the name Elaeis guineensis (African oil palm). RNAcentral's name for it is "long non-coding RNA (EGUI_LNC024003)". Lineage: Eukaryota; Viridiplantae; Streptophyta; Magnoliopsida; Arecales; Arecaceae. The record is from RNAcentral.
GUUGUACAUUAUUUUGCGGUGCCGUCGGUGCACCGCAGAGCAUCGGUGCUCGAUCUAGUCAAAGAAGUGCAGUUCGUCAUUUGAUUUGAAAAUUGUUGUACCGUCUGGUUGAGGAUGGCGUGUGGUAGUGAAAGAAAUGGGUACUGUGGGCUUGGAUUAGACCACGUCUUUGUACUUGUCCUUGGUGGCCUGUAGUUGUG